GGAGGAAAGCAGGGGAUCGAAAGACCUUGUGCUUUUAGAGCGGCCGAUGCCUGAUUAGCUAGUUGGUAAGGUAAGGCUUACCAAGGCAACGAUCAGUAGCUGAUCUGAGAGGACGACCAGCCACACUGGGACUGAGACACGGCCCAGACUCCUACGGGAGGCAGCAGUGGGGAAUUUUGGACGAUGGGCGAAAGCCUGAUCCAGCCAUGCCGCGUGAGUGAAGAAGGCCUUCGGGUUGUAAAGCUCUUUCGGUCGGGAAGAAAUGGUUGUGGCUAAUAUCCACAACAAAUGACGGUACCGACAUAAGAAGCACCGGCUAACUACGUGCCAGCAGCCGCGGUAAUACGUAGGGUGCAAGCGUUAAUCGGAAUUAUUGGGCGUAAAGGGUGCGCAGGCGGUUAUAUAAGUCAGAUGUGAAAUCCCUGGGCUUAACCUAGGAAUUGCGUUUGAAAUACGGAGCUAGAAGGGC
RNAcentral lists this ribosomal RNA (469 nucleotides) under uncultured beta proteobacterium. RNAcentral describes it as "bacterial SSU rRNA". It matches the Rfam family "Bacterial small subunit ribosomal RNA", at positions 198 to 650 of the family's 1533-position model. The record is from RNAcentral. Lineage: Bacteria; Pseudomonadati; Pseudomonadota; Betaproteobacteria.